AAGUGAUGAUUAUUGGAGGUAGAGCACUGUUUGGACGAGGGGCCCCUCUCGGGUUACCGAAUUCAGACAAACUCCGAAUGCCAAUUAAUUUAACUUGGGAGUCAGAACAUGGGUGAUAAGGUCCGUGUUCGAAAGGGAAACAGCCCAGACCACCAGCUAAGGUCCCAAAAUAUAUGUUAAGUGGAAAAGGAUGUGGCGUUGCCCAGACAACUAGGAUGUUGGCUUAGAAGCAGCCAUCAUUUAAAGAGUGCGUAAUAGCUCACUAGUCGAGUGACACUGCGCCGAAAAUGUACCGGGGCUAAACAUAUUACCGAAGCUGUGGAUUGUCCUUUGGACAAUGGUAGGAGAGCGUUCUAAGGGCGUUGAAGCAUGAUCGUAAGGACAUGUGGAGCGCUUAGAAGUGAGAAUGCCGGUGUGAGUAGCGAAAGACGGGUGAGAAUCCCGUCCACCGAUUGACUAAGGUUUCCAGAGGAAGGCUCGUCCGCUCUGGGUUAGUCGGGUCCUAAGCUGAGGCCGACAGGCGUAGGCGAUGGAUAACAGGUUGAUAUUCCUGUACCACCUAUAAUCGUUUUAAUCGAUGGGGGGACGCAGUAGGAUAGGCGAAGCGUGCGAUUGGAUUGCACGUCUAAGCAGUAAGGCUGAGUAUUAGGCAAAUCCGGUACUCGUUAAGGCUGAGCUGUGAUGGGGAGAAGACAUUGUGUCUUCGAGUCGUUGAUUUCACACUGCCGAGAAAAGCCUCUAGAUAGAAAAUAGGUGCCCGUACCGCAAACCGACACAGGUAGUCAAGAUGAGAAUUCUAAGGUGAGCGAGCGAACUCUCGUUAAGGAACUCGGCAAAAUGACCCCGUAACUUCGGGAGAAGGGGUGCUCUUUAGGGUUAACGCCCAGAAGAGCCGCAGUGAAUAGGCCCAAGCGACUGUUUAUCAAAAACACAGGUCUCUGCUAAACCGUAAGGUGAUGUAUAGGGGCUGACGCCUGCCCGGUGCUGGAAGGUUAAGAGGAGUGGUUAGCUUCUGCGAAGCUACGAAUCGAAGCCCCAGUAAACGGCGGCCGUAACUAUAACGGUCCUAAGGUAGCGAAAUUCCUUGUCGGGUAAGUUCCGACCCGCACGAAAGGCGUAACGAUUUGGGCACUGUCUCAACGAGAGACUCGGUGAAAUCAUAGUACCUGUGAAGAUGCAGGUUACCCGCGACAGGACGGAAAGACCCCGUGGAGCUUUACUGUAGCCUGAUAUUGAAAUUCGGCACAGCUUGUACAGGAUAGGUAGGAGCCUUUGAAACGUGAGCGCUAGCUUACGUGGAGGCGCUGGUGGGAUACUACCCUAGCUGUGUUGGCUUUCUAACCCGCACCACUNAUCGUGGUGGGAGACAGUGUCAGGCGGGCAGUUUGACUGGGGCGGUCGCCUCCUAAAAGGUAACGGAGGCGCUCAAAGGUUCCCUCAGAAUGGUUGGAAAUCAUUCAUAGAGUGUAAAGGCAUAAGGGAGCUUGACUGCGAGACCUACAAGUCGAGCAGGGUCGAAAGACGGACUUAGUGAUCCGGUGGUUCCGCAUGGAAGGGCCAUCGCUCAACGGAUAAAAGCUACCCCGGGGAUAACAGGCUUAUCUCCCCCAAGAGUUCACAUCGACGGGGAGGUUUGGCACCUCGAUGUCGGCUCAUCGCAUCCUGGGGCUGUAGUCGGUCCCAAGGGUUGGGCUGUUCGCCCAUUAAAGCGGUACGCGAGCUGGGUUCAGAACGUCGUGAGACAGUUCGGUCCCUAUCCGUCGUGGGCGUAGGAAAUUUGAGAGGAGCUGUCCUUAGUACGAGAGGACCGGGAUGGACAUACCUCUGGUGUACCAGUUGUCGUGCCAACGGCAUAGCUGGGUAGCUAUGUGUGGACGGGAUAAGUGCUGAAAGCAUCUAAGCAUGAAGCCCCCCUCAAGAUGAGAUUUCCCAACUUCGGUUAUAAGAUCCCUCAAAGAUGAUGAGGUUAAUAGGUUCGAGGUGGAAGCAUGGUGACAUGUGGAGCUGACGAAUACUAAUCGAUCGAAGACUUAAUCAA
This 2038-nucleotide ribosomal RNA is filed under the name Staphylococcus aureus. RNAcentral's name for it is "23S ribosomal RNA". It matches the Rfam family "Bacterial large subunit ribosomal RNA", at positions 884 to 2925 of the family's 2925-position model. Lineage: Bacteria; Bacillati; Bacillota; Bacilli; Caryophanales; Staphylococcaceae. The record is from RNAcentral.